This 224-nucleotide long non-coding RNA is filed under the name Lathyrus oleraceus (garden pea). Its description in RNAcentral is "Pisum sativum (pea) long non-coding RNA (PSAT_LNC022199)". Lineage: Eukaryota; Viridiplantae; Streptophyta; Magnoliopsida; Fabales; Fabaceae. The record is from RNAcentral.
AUAGCUGAGAUAAUAAACAAAUCCAAGGAAAUCUUUAAGAGCCCUAAAUAUUACAAAACAGGCAUCAAUGAGGACUGCCACACAUUACACAAUUGCCAAAAAAACAAAAAGAACUUCAGCAUUCAUACAACAAUAGCAGAACAGCUUCACAACACCUUUCACGCCAUCUUCAUCUCAUCAUACUAUUCUUUACCACAUGAAGGAACCAUUAAUCAGAAGAAGAA